Molecule: ribosomal RNA, 413 nt
Filed under: Uropeltis liura
Lineage: Eukaryota; Metazoa; Chordata; Lepidosauria; Squamata; Uropeltidae
Description: partial 12S ribosomal RNA
Source: RNAcentral
UGCCUGGACGUAACACAGCAACACCACUGCUCGCCAAAUAACUACGAGUGAAAACUUAAAACUUAAAGGACUUGACGGUACUUCACACUCAACCUAGAGGAGCCUGUCUACUAACCGAUAAUCCACGAUUAACCCGACCGCUUCUAGCCACCCAGCCUAUAUACCACCGUCGCCAGCCUACCUUGUAAAAGAAACAAAGUGAGCUAAACAGUACUACACUCACACGACAGGUCAAGGUGUAACUAAUGAAACGGACUAAGAUGGGCUACAUUCUCUAACCUAGAUUAUACGAACAAGGCCAUGAAACCAACCUUUAAAGGCGGAUUUAGCAGUAAGCUGAGAACAAAAUACUCAACUGAAACCAAUGCAAUGAAGUGCGUACACACCGCCCGUCACCCUCUGCAGUCACUUUA